UGCGGGCAAGUGAACCGGUGUCAUGCUGGCCUCAUAAGCCAUGCGAGUGGCGUUCAACUCGCCAGCCCGCAACCA
Molecule: transfer RNA, 75 nt
Filed under: Candidatus Sulfopaludibacter sp. SbA4
Lineage: Bacteria; Pseudomonadati; Acidobacteriota; Terriglobia; Bryobacterales; Solibacteraceae
Description: Pseudo tRNA
Source: RNAcentral